UUAAGAUAUAUAAAGGUUUGGGUUUUUUUAAUUGUAUUUGUUUGACUUCAACAUACUUGCUCUAAUGGUGUUAUACUACAAAACAAAUUGGCACGCUAUGUGCAAAAUAGUGAUUGAUUAUACUGGAUCACUUUUUAAAAUGAAAUAUACUAUUAAGCAUUUGCCCAUCUCAUGCUUCAGUCUCAGUGUGCAGUUUGCUGCAGCAUUGGAAAGUAUUAUGUAUGCAUAUCUGCAGGUAUAUUUGAGGGACAGAACUUACGUCCUCUUUUGUUUUUUGAGUUUUUUCUGUAUUUAAAUUAAAAAAGAAAAAGGUAUUUAAUUUUAUGGUGUUCUGAUAGUGUUUCAUGAAUACCAUUCCUUGCAAUGCAAACUUGGUUAACACUGAAGAUGCUAUCACUUAAUUAUUCUUUUGCAAUUGUUUAUCUGAUACUCAUUGUAAGAAAAUUAGCAUUCAAUUUUUUAGAGUUAAAAAAAUGGUACACUAAAUCUUUCUAUUGAAGGCACUCUUUGAACCUAUGGAGUAUUAAUUUAACUGAAUGUUAAACUAGUUAACUAGUAACUAGAGGAAUUACAAAGCGUUGCAGGAUUUUUUCUGUCUUUAUCAGAAUCCUAACAGUGCCAGCAGGUGUGCCAUAAGCUGUUUCCUACAGUACAGAAUUCUCUGUGCUCUGUGAAAAAAAUCUAAUUUUUCCUGCAAACUUGAUUGGACACUGUGACAACGUGUUGGGUUGUGGUAUGUUUCUUUGCCCAGGUCGAUGAUGAGAUAUUCAUCUAUGUGCACUGCAAACUGACCCUUCUUUGCAGGCUGCCAGCAGGGUCUUAGCCGCUGGUUGGUCCCUUCAAGCCUGAGGAUUUGGGCAGUUUCCAGCCCACCUUGUUCCAUUCAGCCGGGCAAUAUUUCCUUUACAAGGGCAUAAAAGGUACUUACCUGCUCGGCAGAUUUAAUUGCUACAGAUUUGGUUUGUGAUGAAAAUCAAUGUCAAUCAUUUCACAUUUUAGAAACAGGAGUUCAACUUUCAAUAUAAAGAUGUUUCCCUUGCUUUUUCUCUUGUUUUCUUUAAAUACUUCUGUGUAAAGUAAUCAGCCCUUAAGCUUCAGUUCUGCAGUAGUGAAAUGUACUGUCAAUUAAUACUUUAAAGUGUACUUCAUUUUCUUCCUUGUUCUGAUACUGUGGAUAUGAUAGGGCAGCGAUAGCUAUGUCCAUCAAAAGCUGUGUGAUCUUACAAAGACUUCAAUAACUACAUUCCUAUAUUAGAUGCAUAUUAACAAGAUAGCAGAUUUUCCUGCUUAUUAGAAACUGUUACCUUGCUGGAAAUAACAUUUGUAUAUGAGUUGAUUUUCAUAGUAUCACUGUGAUUAAAAUGUCACAUCAGCGCUCAUUCUAAUUUUAGAUGCAGGUUGCAUGAAGUAAAUAUUUUUUGUGUUAGAUCGUUCUAUAAUACUCUGGUCAUCUUAAAAAUACAGUCACACCUUUUUGUAUCAUUUUUUCCCCCCUAAUUUUGAACUUCUGAAUCUGAAUGAGCAUUUAUGACAUUUGUGAGUUUUGCUUGAACAGUAGGUGCCAGGCAGAUGUGAAGUGCUGCAGGACAUACAUGUUACCAGCAUUGAUCCUGCCCUUCCAUGUGAGGAUUUGCACCCCAGCCAUGCAUUCCUGCUCAUUGCAUUCCUUUCCCCAACCCAAAAUUGGAUUUUUAGGAUAGUUUGGGAGGAAGGAGAGCUUCACUUGCAAAUGCACAAUAACUGAGAGGGCUGGAUAUUCUGGGUUUUCUUUUGCGAGUUUAAAAAAAACCCCUUCCUUUAGCUAUCAAAGCUUGGUUAGUAUGUUGCCUUUGUUUUAUACGAUUUUGAAUUGUUUGCUGCAUAGAUGGGCACUGACUGUUUUAAAUGCCGUUGGCUGCAAUAGUCUGAGGAAUUAACUCUAUUGUAGUUGUCCCUACUAAUUCUGGAUUUGCAAAAUGAAAGCAAAUGAAGAAUUUUUAGAUUGAAUCUAAAGAAAAAGGGUAUUUUUAUUCAUAUGCUGAAAUUGAGGGGUUAUAUUGAAGAGAGUUUGGUUCAGCUAUGGGAAAAAGAUAUUCACAGAAUUGUGUGGAACAAAAAACAAAUGCUGGAACGUCCUCACCUGUCAGCAUGUAUUAUACAGACUCCUUGGAGAAGGCUAAAAGAUUGGUAUGUCUUAACUACUUAUCUGAGGAGCUAUUGGGGCUGGUAUCUAGCAUUUUCAUCUUGGAUGUCAUUAAGUAACGCUCCUCAAAAUUGAACAUAUAUUGCUGGGGGUCAAGGUGGUCAGAGAUACAGUUGCAACUAUUUUUUUUGUUGUUGUUAAUCUGCUCAAAAUUCUAAGGGAACAUUCAGUAUAAAACUAUUUCUGUAUUUCUGUACUUUCUACUUCGUCAAUCCUGAUUAGUUUUAUUAUGAUUCUGGUAUCACUCAGAAGAUAAGUCUUUCAUGGAGAAAGGAUGUGUUCUUUCCUGUUCGUUUUUGUUCCUGUUUAAUUGUUUUUUGUUUUGUUUUAGAGAGAAGAAUCUAGACGGUGCUAAUUAAAAUUUGAUUAUUAAUAAGGAGAAUAUCUCCCUAAAAUCUCUUUACACUCCCUCAGAACAGGGUAUGGCACCACAGGAAUGUUAUAAAUCUCAUUAAGUUAAAACAAAGAAAAGGCUUAUUUACAGCAGUUGAUUUUAUUUUUUGUAUUAUGCAGUGUAAAGGGUCUAAUCACAAAAGUUCUUUAAACUUGAGCAUAUAGAACCUUUUGUUGAGUAUCUUGGUGUACGUUCCAUCCUUCUUCCACUGACUUGAGGAGCCUCUUUAUAAAAACCUCCUUAGGGGAAUUUCUAUAUGGCAUCUUGCAAGUUUAAAAAGCGUCAGAAAUUGAUCCUUAGGUGUUUUAUAUAUAUGUACAUCCCUCUUUUGUCAGGUUUUUUUUCUAAUAUUAAACCCACUAUGUCUUUUUCCCCUUUUGAUCUCUGACAAACUUCAGAAGGGAGAGACUAUAAUGGAGAGCAGUGGAGCCAGAGACAUCAGUUCUGUCAGCGGCAUCCUUGUAGCAGAACAGAAAAAAUUCAAGCAUCUGCAGAUUAAAAUGUCAUAGCAGCUGUUAAAUCUGUUUCAGGCAGGUUGUUAAUACCAUUUCUCUUUCUAGUGUUCCAUGACAGUAUGAGAAAAGGGGGGAUUGGUGACAUUUGUUCAGAAUUGAUUCUGAAGCUGCUGUGAUCUGCGUUCUGAUUAUUGACAUAAGAAACACCUUGGAGUACGACUUUCAAAUGACUUGUUUGUAAGCAGGUAAGCAAACUAUUAAUUGUAACAAUCCUGAAUAUAUGUUGUGCAGGUUGAUUUUGCAGAGGCAGGUGGCAGCAGCACCAAUAGCACUGAAGCAGCUUGUGCCACAUAACUCUGUUUCUUUAAAUCUGGCAAGAGUUACCAACCGCAGUCUCCAAGAAGAUAAUUUUCCGUUUGUCAGUUCCCAGUUUUAUCUUUACGCUACAGCUGGUAAGAGCCCUUUGACUUUUGUCUUGUCAGCUUGCACCUUGUGAUUAAAGGGAGCUCGAAGUAUGUUUCUCAAGUUGUGUGAGAGGGAGUAGAGGAAAUGGGUUCGUGGUGUUCUCUAAUAGAAUUGAAAAAAGACGUGUGGAAAUAGAGGAGAGAAAAGAAGUUACUAGACACCUACCCAUUCUGGCAUCUCCUUGGAAAAAACAGUACUGUGUGAGAUUUUUCAUUAUGUGUUCCUGUCUGUUGUUCAGCCCUUAGAUCAAUUACGUUUCAUUUUGAAAGCAACUAUUUGUUUUGGAGGAGAAGCUAAGGUUUUUUUGUUGUUUCCUGAGAGCAAGUGUUGAAGCAUUCUGGUAGGCUGCCUGCCUGGAAGCAGCAAAGAAGGGAAAAGAUUUUUUUUAAUGAUUUUUUUUUUUUUUCUUGUCACUAGAAUGUAUAACUGAUGUCAUCCAAACCAUACAUGUUCUAAGCCUGGUUGCACCCAGAGCUAAUUCAGUGAUAGGAUUCUUUUAGAAGAAUAGUUCAGAUUUCACAUUUCUGUGGAUGGGAUCUGUGUUUUGUCGCUGAAUACCUUGCCAAGCCAGCCUCUCUUCAGUGACUUGCUCAGCAAAAGUGCUAGUAAAAUCAAAUACUUAGUUUCUUUUCUCUAUGCCGGCUGCCAUGGGUGUAUUUCCUCCCUCAGGACAGAAAUGAGACUAACUAGUAGCUCAAAUGUUGCAACUACCUUAGUAUUCUUGAGCAAGUUUUCUGCUCUGAAACGUUUUCAAAAAAUGACCUUUUCUUGGACCGUAAGUGGAUGGCAAAUUCUGGUAAGGACAUCUCAGUUGUCUUCCAGUUGUUUUUUGUUGAUGUUUCUGAUAAAAUUUAAGGCAUGGAUUUUCUUUUAUGUACAGUAUUUCUGAGGCGUUUCACUUAAUCAAAGAAACUGCACUGACAACACAAGGACACACCAAAUCAGUUCUACUUCAGGAACUCAUUUCGCUUAAAUGCUGAUCAGCCAGCCCAGUACAACAGUAUUAGUCAGGCUGCUUCUUAUGUUUGGUGGCAAAGAGGUAUUUUUUUAUGUCAUCUGUCUGUAAAUGCUUAGUAUCUGUAAACUGCUCAGGUAUUCUCUCAUCUACAUGUGGGGGAACAAAAAAAAAAGAGACUGGAUGAGGAAGUGUUUUUGUAGCAUGAAAAGAAACAACCUAAGUAAGAGCAAGUGUAGCUAUGAAAGAGGAUGCUGAAUUCUUGCAUGCCGUACAAACACCUACAUCAUUUAACCUGUUCAUAAAUACUCUCCAUGUAAAGAUCUAAGAGUACUUUACAGUACCAGUUAGUUUUUACAGGAUCCUACCUACAAAAAUGAUGUCUUACCAAAGCCACAUAUAGUGGCUUUCAUGGAGUGAUGUUAAUCACAGUACAGCCAGCAGCAAUGCUAAAAAUAAAUGCUGCUGAGAUGAAAGUAUAACAAGAAGCACAAUGUCUGUGCUGAAGGGAAUGUUGUGGAGAGCUAACUGCCCCAGUGCCCAUCUGGCAGACAAGCACAGACAGUUUGAAUUGUAUCACAGCAUGCAAAUUUUGGUUUGUAGUUUUUCUUUGGAUGUUGUGACACCACAGCUGCAGUUCUACGUCCUCACGGAGGUUGAGUUUCAAGGCCACAGAGAUGUCCUCCAAUGCAGUGUGCCCACCCACAGAUGCUGGCUGAAAGGUUUAACCCAUGGAGCAGCAUCCCUCAAAGGAAAUGCAGUGAGUGUCAUACAGCAGCUUGGAUAAAAGCACUUUAAGAAGAGAGAAAAUAUUUGUCCAUAACAGAAAAUUGAGAGCCAGCACAAUGAAGUGGGAAGAAUGUUAACAAUUUACCAAGCUUGAUCAGAAUGCAGAGCAGAACUGUUCAGAGUCUUCAGCCACCGUCUGGGGAUGCUGACUCCACUACCUCUCUAGUAGACAUUUUUCAAGUUCUCUGGUGCAAUUGAGGCUGUUCCCUCUCUUCCUAUCACCGUUACCUGGGAGAAGAAGCUGACCCCUACCUUGCCACAACCUCCUUUCAAGUAGUAAAG
Molecule: long non-coding RNA, 5522 nt
Organism: Centrocercus urophasianus (Greater sage-grouse)
Lineage: Eukaryota; Metazoa; Chordata; Aves; Galliformes; Phasianidae
Exons: 5
Source: RefSeq, a predicted model, not a curated record